UACGUAGGCAGCGAGCGUUGUUCGGAGUUACUGGGCGUAAAGGGUGUGUAGGCGGUUUUCUAAGUUUGGUGUGAAAUCUCCCGGCUCAACCGGGAGGGUGCGCCGAAAACUGGGAGACUAGAGUGCGGGAUGGGAGAGUAGAAUUCCUGAUGUAGCGGUGAAAUGCGUAGAUAUCAGGAGGAAUACCGGUGGUGUAGACGGCCCUCUGGACCGCCACUGACGCUGAGACACGAAAGCGUGGGUAGCAAACAGG
This 253-nucleotide ribosomal RNA is filed under the name uncultured bacterium. RNAcentral describes it as "partial 16S ribosomal RNA". It matches the Rfam family "Bacterial small subunit ribosomal RNA", at positions 524 to 776 of the family's 1533-position model. The record is from RNAcentral.